ACGCUGACAGAAUGCUUAACACAUGCAAGUCAACUUGAAUUUGGGUUUUUAACUUAGAUUUGGGUGGCGGACGGGUGAGUAACGCGUAAAGAACUUGCCUCACAGUUAGGGACAACAUUUAGAAAUGAAUGCUAAUACCUGAUAUUAUGAUUUUAAGGCAUCUUAGAAUUAUGAAAGCUAUAAGCACUGUGAGAGAGCUUUGCGUCCCAUUAGCUAGUUGGAGAGGUAACAGCUCACCAAGGCGAUGAUGGGUAGCCGGCCUGAGAGGGUGAACGGUCACAAGGGGACUGAGACACGGCCCUUACUCCUAUGGGAGGCAGCAGUGGGGAAUAUUGGACAAUGGACCGAGAGUCUGAUCCAGCAAUUCUGAGUGCACGAUGAAGUUUUUCGAAAUGUAAAGUGCUUUCAGUUGGGAAGAAAUAAAUGACGGUACCAACAGAAGAAGUGACGGCUAAAUACGUGCCAGCAGCCGCGGUAAUACGUAUGUCACGAGCGUCAUCCGGAUUUAUUGGGCGUAAAGCGCGUCUAGGUGGUUAUGUAAGUCUGAUGUGAAAAUGCAGGGCUCAACUCUGUAUUGCGUUGGAAACUGUAUAACUAGAGUACUGGAGAGGUAAGCGGAACUACAAGUGUAGAGGUGAAAUUCGUAGAUAUUUGUAGGAAUGCCGAUGGGGAAGCCAGCUUACUGGACAGAUACUGACGCUAAAGCGCGAAAGCGUGGGUAGCAAACAGGAUUAGAUACCCUGGUAGUCCACGCUGUAAACGAUGAUUACUAGGUGUUGGGGGUCGAACCUCAGCGCCCAAGCAAACGCGAUAAGUAAUCCGCCUGGGGAGUACGCACGCAAGUAUGAAACUCAAAGGAAUUGACGGGGACCCGCACAAGCGGUGGAGCAUGUGGUUUAAUUCGACGCAACGCGAGGAAC
This 920-nucleotide ribosomal RNA is filed under the name uncultured bacterium. Its description in RNAcentral is "bacterial SSU rRNA". It matches the Rfam family "Bacterial small subunit ribosomal RNA", at positions 33 to 969 of the family's 1533-position model. The record is from RNAcentral.